RNAcentral lists this ribosomal RNA (548 nucleotides) under uncultured Leptotrichia sp. RNAcentral's name for it is "bacterial SSU rRNA". It matches the Rfam family "Bacterial small subunit ribosomal RNA", at positions 30 to 593 of the family's 1533-position model. The record is from RNAcentral. Lineage: Bacteria; Fusobacteriati; Fusobacteriota; Fusobacteriia; Fusobacteriales; Leptotrichiaceae.
CCAACGUAUGACAGAAUGCUUACACCUGCAAUGUCAAUGGGGAAACGGUGCUUGCACCGCGAUAACCAUGGCGGACGGGUGAGUAACGCGUAAAGAACUUGCCUCUUAGUCUGGGAUAACAGAUGGAAACGACUGAUAAGACUAGAUACUAUUAAAGCUUCGCAUGAAGCUUUAAUGAAAAGAGAUGCUAAGAGAGAGCUUUGCGUCCUAUUAGUUAGUUGGUGAGGUAACGGCUCACCAAGACGAAGAUAGGUAGCCGGUCUGAGAGGAUGAACGGCCACAAGGGGACUGAGAUACGGCCCUUACUCUUACGGGAGGCAGCAGUGGGGAAUAUUGGACAAUGGAGGAGACUCUGAUCCAGCAAUUCUGUGUGCACGAAGACGGUUUUCGGAUUGUAAAGUGCUUUCAGCAGGGAAGAAGAAAGUGACGGUACCUGCAGAAGAAGCGACGGCUAAAUACGUGCCAGCAGCCGCGGUAAUACGUAUGUCGCGAGCGUUAUCCGGAAUUAUUGGGCAUAAAGGGCAUCUAGGCGGAUAUACAAGUCAGGG